Molecule: Y RNA, 94 nt
Filed under: Prolemur simus (greater bamboo lemur)
Lineage: Eukaryota; Metazoa; Chordata; Mammalia; Primates; Lemuridae
Description: Y RNA (ENSPSMG00000005209.1)
Rfam family: Y RNA
About the family: Y RNAs are components of the Ro ribonucleoprotein particle (Ro RNP), in association with Ro60 and La proteins. The Y RNAs and Ro60 and La proteins are well conserved, but the function of the Ro RNP is not known.
Source: Rfam by way of RNAcentral
AGCUGGUCUGAGGGCAGCGGUGUUUACAACUAAUCACAACCAGUUACAAAUUUCUUUGUUCCUUCUCCACUCCCACUGCUUCACUUGACUUUAA